RNAcentral lists this non-coding RNA (1098 nucleotides) under Trichomonas vaginalis G3. RNAcentral's name for it is "Eukaryotic large subunit ribosomal RNA". It matches the Rfam family "Eukaryotic large subunit ribosomal RNA", at positions 1675 to 2990 of the family's 3401-position model. The record is from Rfam by way of RNAcentral. Lineage: Eukaryota; Parabasalia; Trichomonadida; Trichomonadidae.
UAUACCGUGGUAGGGAUCUCUUUCCUACAUGACAGUACUAAUACCCAGGGAAACUGUCAUCAGGCGAACUGCGGCGUUCUGCUGGCAAAACAUAGCUUCGGUUAUGUCAAUGGCUAUUGGAUUGGUCCAUGAAGCGAAAAAUAGUUUACUGUGUCACUCGUACCGAUAACCGCAUCAGGUCUUCUAGGUAAGUAGCCUAUGGCCAUUGAGGCAUGAUAGUUCAGGGAAUUCGGCCAAUUAGAGCUGUAACUUCGGGAUAAAGCUUGGCUCUGAUGAAAAUCAGAACCGAUUGUUACGCGGAGAGCCCAACUGUUUAAUAAAAACGUAGUGUCGCGCUGUGGUAGUAUAGCCAGUGAACGCGACAUGAAUCCUGCUCAGUGCUGUGUCUGUUAAUAUGGUUCAAGCCAACGAAGCACCGGUAAAUAGCUGGGGUAACUAUGACUCUUAUCAAAGUAGCGAAAUACCUCGUCACUUAAUUAGUGACCUGCAUGAACGGAGCUAUGAGGUUCUCACUGUCCCAAACUGUCUCUCAGCGAACCAACUGUAGUGGGAACGGUCACUAGAUAUCCAGCGGGGAAAGAAGACCCUGUAGAGCUUCACUUUGGUCUAGUCUUGUAUAGUUCCUGCGGGGGUGUAGACUAGGUGGGAGAGCAAUCGAUUCUGAAAAACCACUACCCUGUUUGGAAUUAUGCUUACCUAUCACAAGGAAUAGGACUAGAUAGAAAGUUUGGCUGGGGCGGCACACCUUCGAAAGAGCAGCGAAGGUGUCCUAAGUUGAGCUCAGUGAGGACAGAAAUCUCACGUUGAGGAUAAGGCCAAAAGCUCAAUUUACUGUGCCUUUUUGUACUAGGAUCAGUUACGAAAGUAAGGCCUAACGAUCCCUAAAUAGCCUCAGGUGCGUGAGGAUUGGGGUGACAGACAAGUUACCUCCGGGACAACUGGCUUGUGGCUGCUAAGAGAUCAAAUCAACGCAGCUUUUUGAUUCUUCGAUGUCGGCUCUUCCUAUCCUAGUGAUGUACAAGUUGCUAAGGGUCGGAUUGUUCACCCGUAUUAGGGAUCGUGAGCUGGGUUUAGACCGUCGUGAGCCAGGUUUGUUUU